Molecule: long non-coding RNA, 527 nt
Filed under: Homo sapiens (human)
Lineage: Eukaryota; Metazoa; Chordata; Mammalia; Primates; Hominidae
Description: non-protein coding lnc-CNTNAP5-1:2
Source: RNAcentral
GGUUGAGCACUGUGAUGGGGGGAAGUGGCUGACUGUGUGUCUCAUUGGCUGGCUGCUUCCUGAUGGGGCUGCAUCAAGUCUCCCAUUUCCACUUUGGCUAAGAGUUUGAGCACCGGUUAGUAUGCUAAAGACAGCCACCAAGGAAGUGUAAAGUCCAAGAAGAAAUGUCCCAAGUAUCAACCACACAGACCAACACCUUCUCUUGGCCUUGGGAUUACAAAGAAAAGAGCACAGCCAAAUUGACAAGACAGUCAGGAAAUAGAUGGGCAAUGCUGUGUGAGGGGCACAGUGAUCGAAAUGUCAGCAUCUAAUAGAAGCUUGCAGGAAGAUGUUGUCAAGUUUAUCUUGUUCGGGCAUGGAGAUCUAAAGUGGAUUGUUACGAGAACAAUUUUUUUUUGUUAACGAAAAAAUUAAGCAAUUUUUUAUAUCAUGUGUACCACAUUUUUGAUGACAACGGUCUAUUAUUUAUACUGAUAACUAAGUAAAAGUCUAACUAUUCUGCUGGUUUCAUUGGCUGGUUUGGUUGU